UACUUAUCUUACCUGCCGUUUAGUGGGGGAUAAAAUACCGCAUAUUCUGGUUUCGACCAGGAAAGGACUUCGGUUCGCUAAAUGAUGGGGAUAAGUCGUAUUAGUUUGUUGGUGGGGUAAAGGCCUACCAAGACCAAGAUGCGUAGCCAAACUGAGAGGUUGAAUGGCCACAGGGAAACUGAGACACGGUUCCCACUCCUACGGGAGGCAGCAGUGAGGAAUAUUCCGCAAUGGGCGAAAGCCUGACGGAGCGAUGCUACGUGAAGGAUGAAGGUCUACGGAUUGUAAACUUCUUUACUUGGAUGUACUCCUUAAAACUUGCAUCCGAGCAAAAAGUCACGACUAACUAUGUGCCAGCAGUCGCGGUAAGACAUAGGUGGCGAACGUUAUCCGGAAUUAUUGGGCGUAAAGGAUGCGUAGAUGGUAGAAUAAGUUAUUGGUUGAUACCAAACUCAAUUUGGUGGAGGCUGGUAAUACUGUUCGGCUAGAGGGCAGGAGAAGUUGAUGGAAUUCUGUGUGGAGCGGUGAAAUGCGUUGAUCUACAGAGGAACACCAAAAAAGGCGAAGGCAGUCAACUAUUCUGUUCCUGACAUUGAGGCAUGAAAGCGUGGGGAGCAAACCGGAUUAGAUACCCGGGUAGUCCACGCCCUAAACGAUGAGCAUUAGAUAUUGGGCAUUUUGCUUAGUGUCGCAGUUAACGCUUUAAAUGCUCCGCCUGAGUACUACGGUCGCAAGGCUAAAACUCAAAGGAAUUGACGGGACCCGCACAAGCGGUGGAGCAUGUGGUUUAAUUCGAUACGACGCGCAGAACCUUACCAAGGUUUGACAUGGAGGGCAAAGUUGAAGAAACUCAACGGAGGUUAUCCCGACACAGGUGGUGCAUGGUCGUCGUCAGUUCGUGCUGUGAAGCGUACGCUUAAGUGCUAGAACGAACGCAACCCUCAUAUUUAGUUGCUAUCAUUUAGUUGAGAACUCUAAAUAGACUGCUAAGAUAACUUAGAGGAAGGAGAGGAUCACGUCUGAUCGUC
RNAcentral lists this ribosomal RNA (1028 nucleotides) under Candidatus Moeniiplasma glomeromycotorum. Its description in RNAcentral is "bacterial SSU rRNA". It matches the Rfam family "Bacterial small subunit ribosomal RNA", at positions 114 to 1194 of the family's 1533-position model. The record is from RNAcentral. Lineage: Bacteria; Bacillati; Mycoplasmatota; Mollicutes; Mycoplasmatales; Mycoplasmataceae.